GGGUCUAUGGGCUAACUUGGUUAUACUUGCGCCUUUGGGAGGCGUUGAUUCCGGUUCAAAUCCGGAUAGACCCA
This 74-nucleotide transfer RNA is filed under the name Thermoplasmata archaeon. RNAcentral's name for it is "tRNA-Pro". It matches the Rfam family "tRNA". Rfam says of the family: Transfer RNA (tRNA) molecules are approximately 80 nucleotides in length. Their secondary structure includes four short double-helical elements and three loops (D, anti-codon, and T loops). Lineage: Archaea; Methanobacteriati; Thermoplasmatota; Thermoplasmata. The record is from RNAcentral. RNAcentral also lists the same sequence under 1 other name.